RNAcentral lists this long non-coding RNA (448 nucleotides) under Homo sapiens (human). RNAcentral describes it as "HSALNT0195401". Lineage: Eukaryota; Metazoa; Chordata; Mammalia; Primates; Hominidae. The record is from RNAcentral.
GUUUCAGCAAAUAGGAAGCUCUAGAAAUCUCAGCAGGCUUCUCCCUGUGGGCCUCCCAGCCCACUCUGAGGGCAAAGGAGAAUCAAAGAGGCUGCUUUAGGGCCCAGCGUCUGGGGCUUUUGCAGGGCAGAGGGCAGAAUCUCUUUUCCCAGCAACCCCCUCCCCCCACGACAGCUGGGAGCAACCCUCACCUCUGCUUCAAUCUGUACUCUUCCAGGCUGGCUGCCUGUACUCUGCCUGCCAACGUGGGGCUGUGGGGGCAGCAUCCCUCACAAGUCUGCAGAUGUGGACCUGGGCUUUUGUGAAAACCAACACCCAGUUCCUGCCAUAUCCCCAGGCUCUUUCCACAGGAGAGAAGUGGCAGGAAGGAACGCAGCCCUGACACUCAAAGGAACUCGGGGCAUCCUGCCUGUUCGUGUCCACACGUAGACAGAGUUUUCCUCUGUUG